AGGACUGCAGCCUUGGGAAUUACCAGGCUGGAGCUCCCCAGCUCCUUUUGCCUUUCCCCAGCACUACUCUACCUCAGGUACCCUUCUGUCCCUCACAGACAGGUCCUUCUCUCUCCAGAGCUAGAGAGAGACUGACUCAGCUCCUGGCUCACAGCUAGGUUCACCA
Molecule: long non-coding RNA, 166 nt
Organism: Dermochelys coriacea (leatherback sea turtle)
Lineage: Eukaryota; Metazoa; Chordata; Testudines; Dermochelyidae
Exons: 3
Source: RefSeq, a predicted model, not a curated record